UUUUUUUUUUUUUUUUUUUUUUUUUUGAUUUUAAAACCCAGGAACAUAAUACUUCCACUAACCAGAAUCACUAUUAUUUCUUGCAGAGAUUUUUUUUCUUUAUUGGCAAAUUAAUGUUCAUUCAUGUCAGUGAUUCUUGCCAGAAUUGUUGAUAUUGCCUUUUAGCUUUUUCUUUUGACAUAAUUUCAGACAUAAUUUCAAACUGUAAGAACAGUACAAAGAAUUCUCAAAUAUAUUUCACUCAGAUUCUCCAAAUGAUAAUAUUUUAUCAAUUUGCUUUAUUUUCCUCUCCUCUUUAUCGCCAUAGCUUCCUUUUGAAAUCAUUUGCUAGUAAGUUGCAGCUGUGGUAUUUCUCUUAACCUCUUAAUACUUAGGUGGUAUUUCCUGAAACCAAGUUUAUUCUCUUAGCAACAGUACAGUGAUUAAAAUCAGGAAGUUAAUAUUGAUAAAAUCUAUAGGUCUUAAUUGGAUUUUACCUGAAAUUCUGAAUUGGUGUUGCACUUUUGUAAAAAGUGGUUUUGUUAAGAUAUAGUUGCGUGUAAAAUUGAUUUAUUAUAAAUGUACAGUUCACUUAUUUUUAGUAAAUGUUCAGAGUUGUUCAACCAUUACCCUGAGGGGAUCCCUCUUUUCUGUUUGCAAGUCACUCCCUGUUCCCAACCCCAACUCUAGACUACCACUAAUCUUUCCCUAUAGUUAGUAUUGCUUUUUUUUUUUUUUUUUUGGUCUUUUUAGGGCUACACCUGCGGUGAGGCUGCCAGGCUAGGGGUCAAAUCAGAGCUACAGCUGCUGGCCUACACGACCGUCACAGCAACACUGAAUCUGAGCCACAUCUGCGACCUAUACCACAGCCCCUGGCAACGUCAGAUCUUAAUCCACUAAGUCUGGCCAGGGAUUGAACCCGAAUCCUUGUGGUUCCUAGUCAGGUUCAUUAACUGCUAAGCCACAAUGGGAACUCGAGUAUUGCUUUCUUUUCUUUUUUUUUUUUUUUUUCCGGUCCCUUUUUUUUGCCUUUUCCUAGGUCUGCUCCCGUGGCAUAUGAAGGUUCCUAGGCUAAGGGUCUAAUUGGAGCUGUAGCCCCCAGCCUACACCACAGCAGUACGUGGCUCUCAGAUCUGGUGUGGUUGUAGCUGUGGCCAGAAGCUGCAGCUCCUGUUUGAUCCUUAGCCUGGGUACUUGGCCUUGGGUACAGCCCUAAAAGGGUGUGAGGGGGAUUUUAUCAGAGGUCACCAGGAAUGUUUGUUUUCUGAAUUUCCUUAGGAGGGGCUGAUCACCUUUGAAUAAGCAAGUUUUGAAAGUUCCAGAUAUAAGUGAAAUAUUGCAUAGAAAAAUUAGAAGUGAAUGAAAUGAGUGUAUUAGCAGAAACUAAAACAUAAUCUGGUUAAUUCUUAACAGAAUGAAUGAUAUAUUUGAAAACCGUGAAGAAUAGUUUAAACCCUUCCAAGAACAUGGAGAGAGGGUUUUUUAAAAAAAGUAGUAUUUAUAUUUAAUACUCAGGAAAAAGUGAUUCUAAAGAUGAAUUCAUGGCCCAAUCUUUGUAACCAUUGUGAGGCUAAGCACUGGGUCAUUGCUAGAAUAGUGUCUGGCACAUGGUAGCUUCUAAAUACAUUUAUUUUAAAAGGUUCUCAGAGUUUGUUUACUGAUUCAUUCAUUGAUUAUUUAUUCAACAGGUAUUAAUACCAACUGCCCUUCUAAGAAAGUGCUGAGAUAGAGUAUUAUAAUGAUAAUACAAGAGCUUCUGUAAGUAGGACAGUAGCCCUCUUUGUUUUAAAAGGAUAUAUACUCCUGUCCCCUUCCAUAUAGAAUAUUUGUUUUUUUGGGGGGGGCAAAAGAAUGUUAAAAUAAAAUUAUUAAAAUAUUCAAUACUUUUACAAUCUUAAAUUAGUUGCAUUUUUCUUUUUAAUUUAUGUUGAUACCUACUUAAUAUUUUAAGGCAUUUCCAGUACCUUAUUUGCUAAUGUAUGACAUCAUCCUAGGAAUUUACUUGUAAAGCUUUCUAAGUAUUUUAAGUAUAAUGUGUUUUUUUCAAUUUAAAUUUUAUAGAAUAUUAUAUAUUCUAACUCAAUGAAAAGAAUACUCUUAAGAAAGAAUAGCUGUGAGGGUGAAGGACAUGAUUUUUAAAGAAAUGUCUCAUAAA
RNAcentral lists this long non-coding RNA (2134 nucleotides) under Sus scrofa (pig). RNAcentral describes it as "lncRNA (ENSSSCG00065003182.1)". The record is from RNAcentral. Lineage: Eukaryota; Metazoa; Chordata; Mammalia; Artiodactyla; Suidae.